Molecule: long non-coding RNA, 992 nt
Organism: Oncorhynchus keta (chum salmon)
Lineage: Eukaryota; Metazoa; Chordata; Actinopteri; Salmoniformes; Salmonidae
Exons: 4
Source: RefSeq, a predicted model, not a curated record
UACAAUCUAGUUCAGGUUACUGGGAUUGAGGAGAACACUAGGUGUUGGGUUAACGUAGCUACAAUCUAGUUCAGGUUACUGGGAUUGAGGAGAACACUAGGUGUUGGGUUAACGUAGCUACAAUCUAGUUCAGGUUACUGGGAUUGAGGAGAACACUAGGUGUUGGGUUAACGUAGCUACAAUCUAGUUCAGGUUACUGGGAUUGAGGAGAACACUAGGUGUUGGGUUAACGUAGCUACAAUCUAGUUCAGGUUACUGGGAUUGAGGAGAACACUAGGUGUUGGGUUAACGUAGCUACAAUCUAGUUCAGGUUACUGGGAUUGAGGAGAACACUAGGUGUUGGGUUAACCUAGCUACAAUCUAGUUCAGGUUACUGGGAUUGAGGAGAACACUAGGUGUUGGGUUAACGUAGCUACAAUCUAGUUCAGGUUACUGGGAUUGAGGAGAACACUAGGUGUUGGGUUAACGUAGCUACAAUCUAGUUCAGGUUACUGGGAUUGAGGAGAACACUAGGUGUUGGGUUAACGUAGCUACAAUCUAGUUCAGGUUACUGGGAUUGAGGAGAACACUAGGUGUUGGGUUAACGUAGCUACAAUCUAGUUCAGGUUACUGGGAUUGAGGAGAACACUAGGUGUUGGGUUAACGUAGCUACAAUCUAGUUCAGGUUACUGGGAUUGAGGAGAACACUAGGUGUUGGGUUAACGUAGCUACAAUCUAGUUCAGGUUACUGGGAUUGAGGAGAACACUAGGUGUUGGGUUAACCUAGCUACAAUCUAGUUCAGGUUACUGGGAUUGAGGAGAACACUAGGUGUUGGGUUAACGUAGCUACAAUCUAGUUCAGGUUACUGGGAUUGAGGAGAACACUAGGUGUUGGGUUAACCUAGCUACAAUCUAGUUCAGGUUACUGGGAUUGAGGAGAACACUAGGUGUUGGGUUAAAUUAGCUACAAUCUAGUUCAGGUUACUGGGAUUGAGGAGAAGAUCAUGGCAACA